GAUGGAACAGCCAAGAGGGUUUCGGGGGAGUGUCUCCGCGGCGUUUCACGUGAAGAAGGUGUAUAAUGAAAGAAUCUUACCGGCACUGGAGAGCCAGGGAAAACUUCUGGAAGGAAAUACCAGUUGAGCCGAGAUCUGCAGAACACCAAUUUAACUAAGCUAAAGGGGUAGCGGGAUGAUGGGAGCAGUAUUUAUCAGUGCAGUAAGAGGGAGUACAAGGCCACCAGCACAGCAUGGCCACUAACAGAGUGAUGUAGACCCAUGCCUGGGAACUGAACCCACGCUGCCGAAGCAGAGCAUGUUGGACUUAACCACUAGGCUACUGGGGCUGGCCCAAGACUGCAAGUAUGGGGUUCAGAGAGCUUUCAGGUUGGUGAACACAUCCACACCAGGAGGGUGACACACCCCAACUCCAUGGAGACAGAAGCUCCUGCACUUGGGACCCUCCCAGACCUCACCAUUUCUACCUCUUCAUCUGGCUGUUCAUCUGUAUCCUUUUUCAUAUCCUUUAAUAAACUGGUAAACUUAAGUGUUUCCCUGGAUUUUGUGAGCCACUCUAGGAAAUUAACUAAACCCAGGGGGUCUUUAGAACCUCCAAUAUAUAGCCAGUUGGUCAGAAGCACAGGUGAUAACCUGGUCUUGAGACUGGUGUCUGAAGUGUGUGUUGGGGGUCGCCUUAUGGAAGUGAACCUUUGAUCUGUGGGAUCUGAUGCUAUCUCUGGGUAGACAGUGUCAGAAUCGAGUUAAACUGUAGGAUAUCCAGCUGGUGUUGCAGAGAAUUGCUUGGUGUAGGGAAAAACCUCCACACAUUUGGUGACCCAAAGUAUCAGAAGUGAAGUGUUGGGCCGGCCCAGUGGCUCAGCGGUUAAGUGCGCACAGUCCGCUUUGGCGGCCCGGGGUUCACUGGUUCAGAUCCCGGGGGCAGACCCCUGGAACCACUUGGCACGUCAUGCUGUGGUAGGCGUCCUGCAUACAAAGUAGAGGAAGAUGGG
This is a long non-coding RNA of Equus caballus (horse), 992 nucleotides long. The record is from Ensembl. NCBI's taxonomy places the organism in Eukaryota, Metazoa, Chordata, Mammalia, Perissodactyla, Equidae.